Molecule: long non-coding RNA, 1618 nt
Organism: Cyprinus carpio carpio
Lineage: Eukaryota; Metazoa; Chordata; Actinopteri; Cypriniformes; Cyprinidae
Source: Ensembl
CACUUCAUAGCAGUUUAAUGAAUCACUCGUGUAGUAUCAUUUCAUUAAGAAGAGUUUACAGAGCUCUAGUUUGUACAGUAAAUAAUAAAACUAUUUACACAUUUAUAAAUGUGGCCUGUGAUUUACACAGUGACAGCUACAUAAACAUGCCAUACUCCAAUUAACAUGAAUGAGACAGAUAUUAUAACACGAUGGUUGAGUUACUUUCACUUAUCCCUUCACUUACUUUCUUUAAGAGUAACAGAUCAUAACAAUUUGAAAUCAAAGUCAAAGAUUUACAAACAGGCCCCCAAUGCACUUUAUUUUCUCAUUUGGUCCCUAAUACUGCAGAAUAUAAUGCCAAAUAUGAAUAUUUUAGUUCUAGUAGUAGUUUAGACCAUUUUUUGCUGAACUAUUCCUUUAAUCAUAAUGACACAAAAGGAAUGCCCACACACAAGCCAAAUAAUUCAUAUUUUAAUCUUAACGCUACAUUCUAUAGUUACUAUGGUAACAGCUGUAAAUUUAGUGUCAUUGUUCAGAUGUACUUAAAGUUACUGUAAAUCCAUUAACAGUUACCUGAAUGUUCAUCGCGCCUAAUUACAUCAAAAUGAAACAUUAUUUGCAAAUAAUGGGCUCGUGACGAGGACGGAUGAUGUCAACAUUAAACACAGAUGACGUCACAUUGUCAGGGACUUCAGAACAUCACAUUAUGUUGGAAUGCAUUCAGUCCAUGUUUAUUUUAGUAAUAUCUACCAUAUUUAGCUGCUCUAUGAGUCUCUGGGUUCAUGUGAGACUCAUAACACAGGAAGAACUAGAAUAAUUCACAGGAAGUGCAAGACCUUGACCUCGUCCUUUAGCCCCCUCCAGUAAUGAUCUGCUAAAUCUGCUUCAGUGUCCUGGAAGAUCCAGAUAAAGCAGGUAGUUUAACAGGGUUUGGUAAAGAGCUACAAUGUUCCAGAAAGAAAAGCAUCAGAUUAGACGAGUUAAAUAGCGAGUAUGACCUGUUGCGUUCCAGCAUUGCAUCUUCCUGUAAGUUUCGGUGUCUGCAGAAGGGGCUGAAGAACAGGUUCUGGUUUGCGUUCAUUCGUACAGCUACAGGAAGUGUCUUUGCUAUCACAUCACUGGAUGCUUGCAUGCAUAACUCAUGUGGCAUAUUUGGGAAAAGUAUCUUCUGGUAAAGAAUGUAGAAUGCCAACAUUUGGAGAGGUUUGGUCUUAUUAUUGCACGUCUCCUGCCACACGCAGUGCUCACAGUGCUGGAGGAUGAUGAUGAUGAUGAUGAUGCAUGAAAAAAAAAUGCAUGCGGGGAACCACAGCUUUACCCUCUGGGAGACUGAAGGAAGUGAUGUCAUUGAGGAAAUAGCCAGAUUGAAGGAUAAGAAAGCUGUGAUCAGAUAUGUGGGUCAGAGAGUGGAAAACUACUUUUUUAUUUAAAUUAAACAAUAUUUAUUGAUUUAAGUAUUUGUUUGUUAAUUUAUGUAUUUAUUAUUGAUUUAUUAGUUUGUUUAUUUAUUCAUGUUUAGUUUAAUUUGAAGUACAAAAAUAACGAAAAAAUAAAUUAAUUAACUCAAACUAAUCAAUACAAAUUAAUAAAAACUACACAUUUAAAAAAAAAAAAAAAAAAAACUUUUAGAUUUUUU